RNAcentral lists this long non-coding RNA (205 nucleotides) under Bos taurus (domestic cattle). RNAcentral describes it as "long non-coding RNA NONBTAT023775". The record is from RNAcentral. Lineage: Eukaryota; Metazoa; Chordata; Mammalia; Artiodactyla; Bovidae.
UUUUGCACCAUGUAAUACCAAAUCAGAUCAGAAUUCAUGCACAAUUAUACCAGUGGAAAUCUAAUAGUACAGGCUGGCUUAUCUCUAGAUAACACAUGGAAAAAUAAACUUCCACAACUGACAGAUUUACUUGAUUUUUUUUUCAGAUAAUUUAUUUGUAAGUAAUCGAGCUAAAGACUGUAACUGGAUUAUUUUUCAUACUAUU